GCACUGCUGACGAGUCCCAAACAGGACGAAACAACAAUCCAGUAC
RNAcentral lists this non-coding RNA (45 nucleotides) under Echinostoma caproni. The record is from RNAcentral. Lineage: Eukaryota; Metazoa; Platyhelminthes; Trematoda; Plagiorchiida; Echinostomatidae.